CUGGGGUUCAUCAGCAUCACUAGCCUCUGUUUCGCUACUCUCAUAGACAUCUUGGCUCUCUGCUCUGUCCAAUUCCAGAAAACUGAUGACAAGCUUGGCAACUGCUUCCACAUCACUUCUGCAGCCCAGCACAGCACUCUGAGUCAGUGGGUGUGAAAAUCCAGUGACAAAUCGUAGCACCACCAGGUAACCCUUCCCAAAAUAUCGCACGGUCUCCUCUUCCACAUUCACAUCUCUGAUCUCAUGCAGUAGAGCAACCACUUGCUCACUGCCCCCUUUUGAGAAGGUCAGCAUCUUUUUGUAAAGAUUGAAUGUUUUUAGGCAGACUGUUCCCUUGUUCUUGUCAAAUACAG
RNAcentral lists this long non-coding RNA (353 nucleotides) under Gallus gallus (chicken). Lineage: Eukaryota; Metazoa; Chordata; Aves; Galliformes; Phasianidae. The record is from RNAcentral.